UUCAAACUUAUUUAUGACAGCUGUGUUAACUUUACAAGUUUACUAGCUAAUUUGGAAGAUACAAGUGUGUGUUGUUAUGACCAAUACAUCUAUCAAUGGACAAUGGUCCCACUUUAGUCUCAAAGCAAUCCUAGUCAAGAUUUGAAAUCUCUCUCUCUCUCUCUCUCUCUCUCUCUCUCUCUCUCUCUCUCUCUCUCUCUCUCUCUCUCUCUCUCUCUCUCUCUCUCCCAAAUAUUAUAUAUAUAGACACACAUAACAACCCUUUUAGCUACAAUAAGAUUGUUCAUUUCUCAAAAUCUUGAAGUAGAAAAUGGAGGGUAAAGGGAAGAGUGGAGAGAAGAAAGAGAAAAACAUGAUUCCACCAAGAAGGGGUCAAAUUAAAGAGAAGAUUUUUGAAGAAUUGGGAGAGAAGAUUCUCAACAUGACAUUUGGUGGGGGAGGAGAUGCAAAAAAGAAUCAAGUCUUUCCAUCUUCAAAAGAUUAUAUUUUUGACCCUCCAACAAAGAGAUGAAGCAUGGAUCGAUGGUGGAAUCAUUGAACAAGCUCUUGCAAAUAAUGGCUUUGGAGAGAGAUGGAUGUAAUCUAAUUGAUGUAUGUGUUGCAUUGAGAAGUUUAAGAUAAGAUAGAAGUUCAUAUGUAUUGAUUAUAAUGUUAAAAUAAUUAAUUUAAUUUUGUUAA
Long non-coding RNA from Lactuca sativa (garden lettuce), 678 nucleotides. RefSeq lists it as uncharacterized. The record is from RefSeq and is a predicted model, not a curated record. NCBI's taxonomy places the organism in Eukaryota, Viridiplantae, Streptophyta, Magnoliopsida, Asterales, Asteraceae.